This 471-nucleotide ribosomal RNA is filed under the name uncultured bacterium. Its description in RNAcentral is "bacterial SSU rRNA". It matches the Rfam family "Bacterial small subunit ribosomal RNA", at positions 515 to 988 of the family's 1533-position model. The record is from RNAcentral.
CCGCGGUAAUACGGAGGAUGCGAGCGUUAUCCGGAUUUAUUGGGUUUAAAGGGUGCGUAGGCGGCCUGUUAAGUCAGCGGUGAAAUCUAGGAGCUUAACUCCUAAAUUGCCAUUGAUACUGGCGGGCUUGAGUGUAGAUGAGGUAGGCGGAAUGCGUGGUGUAGCGGUGGAAUGCAUAGAUAUCACGCAGAACUCCGAUUGCGAAGGCAGCUUACUAAGGUACAACUGACGCUGAAGCACGAAAGCGUGGGUAUCAAACAGGAUUAGAUACCCUGGUAGUCCACGCUGUAAACGAUGAUAACUGGGCGUAUGCGAUAUACAGUAUGCUCCUAAGCGAAAGCGUUAAGUUAUCCACCUGGGGAGUACGCCGGCAACGGUGAAACUCAAAGGAAUUGACGGGGGCCCGCACAAGCGGUGGAGCAUGUGGUUUAAUUCGACGCAACGCGAGGAACCUUACCAGCGUUUGACAUC